GGGUUGUGAGGUUAAGCGACUAAGCGUACACGGUGGAUGCCCUGGCAGUCAGAGGCGAUGAAGGACGUGCUAAUCUGCGAAAAGCGUCGGUAAGGUGAUAUGAACCGUUAUAACCGGCGAUGUCCGAAUGGGGAAACCCAGUGUGAUUCGUCACACUAUCGUUAACUGAAUACAUAGGUUAACGAGGCGAACCGGGGGAACUGAAACAUCUAAGUACCCCGAGGAAAAGAAAUCAACCGAGAUUCCCCCAGUAGCGGCGAGCGAACGGGGAGCAGCCCAGAGUCUGAAUCAGCUUGUGUGUUAGUGGAACGGUCUGGAAAGUCCGACGGUACAGGGUGAUAGUCCCGUACACCAAAAUGCACAGGUUGUGAACUCGAAGAGUAGGGCGGGACACGUGGUAUCCUGUCUGAAUAUGGGGGGACCAUCCUCCAAGGCUAAAUACUCCUGACUGACCGAUAGUGAACCAGUACCGUGAGGGAAAGGCGAAAAGAACCCCGGCGAGGGGAGUGAAAAAGAACCUGAAACCGUGUACGUACAAGCAGUGGGAGCACCUUCGGGUGUGACUGCGUACCUUUUGUAUAAUGGGUCAGCGACUUAUAUUCUGUAGCAAGGUUAACCGUAUAGGGGAGCCGCAGGGAAACCGAGUCUUAACUGGGCGUUAAGUUGCAGGGUAUAGACCCGAAACCCGGUGAUCUAGCCAUGGGCAGGUUGAAGGUUGGGUAACACUAACUGGAGGACCGAACCGACUAAUGUUGAAAAAUUAGCGGAUGACUUGUGGCUGGGGGUGAAAGGCCAAUCAAACCGGGAGAUAGCUGGUUCUCCCCGAAAGCUAUUUAGGUAGCGCCUCGUGAACUCAUCUUCGGGGGUAGAGCACUGUUUCGGCUAGGGGGUCAUCCCGACUUACCAACCCGAUGCAAACUACGAAUACCGAAGAAUGUUAUCACGGGAGACACACGGCGGGUGCUAACGUCCGUCGUGAAGAGGGAAACAACCCAGACCGCCAGCUAAGGUCCCAAAGUCAUGGUUAAGUGGGAAACGAUGUGGGAAGGCACAGACAGCCAGGAUGUUGGCUUAGAAGCAGCCAUCAUUUAAAGAAAGCGUAAUAGCUCACUGGUCGAGUCGGCCUGCGCGGAAGAUGUAACGGGGCUAAACCAUGCACCGAAGCUGCGGCAGCGACACUAUGUGUUGUUGGGUAGGGGAGCGUUCUGUAAGCCUGCGAAGGUGUGCUGUGAGGCAUGCUGGAGGUAUCAGAAGUGCGAAUGCUGACAUAAGUAACGAUAAAGCGGGUGAAAAGCCCGCUCGCCGGAAGACCAAGGGUUCCUGUCCAACGUUAAUCGGGGCAGGGUGAGUCGACCCCUAAGGCGAGGCCGAAAGGCGUAGUCGAUGGGAAACAGGUUAAUAUUCCUGUACUUGGUGUUACUGCGAAGGGGGGACGGAGAAGGCUAUGUUAGCCGGGCGACGGUUGUCCCGGUUUAAGCAUGUAGGCUGGUUAUCCAGGAAAAUCCGGAUAAUCAAGGCUGAGGUGUGAUGACGAGGCACUACGGUGCUGAAGUAACAAAUGCCCUGCUUCCAGGAAAAGCCUCUAAGCAUCAGGUAACAUUAAAUCGUACCCCAAACCGACACAGGUGGUCAGGUAGAGAAUACCAAGGCGCUUGAGAGAACUCGGGUGAAGGAACUAGGCAAAAUGGUGCCGUAACUUCGGGAGAAGGCACGCUGGUGUGUAGGUGAAGUCCCUGCGGAUGGAGCUGAGACCAGUCGAAGAUACCAGCUGGCUGCAACUGUUUAUUAAAAACACAGCACUGUGCAAACACGAAAGUGGACGUAUACGGUGUGACGCCUGCCCGGUGCCGGAAGGUUAAUUGAUGGGGUUAUCCGUAAGGAGAAGCUCUUGAUCGAAGCCCCGGUAAACGGCGGCCGUAACUAUAACGGUCCUAAGGUAGCGAAAUUCCUUGUCGGGUAAGUUCCGACCUGCACGAAUGGCGUAAUGAUGGCCAGGCUGUCUCCACCCGAGACUCAGUGAAAUUGAACUCGCUGUGAAGAUGCAGUGUACCCGCGGCAAGACGGAAAGACCCCGUGAACCUUUACUAUAGCUUGACACUGAACAUUGAGCCUUGAUGUGUAGGAUAGGUGGGAGGCUUUGAAGCGUGGACGCCAGUCUGCGUGGAGCCAACCUUGAAAUACCACCCUUUAAUGUUUGAUGUUCUAACGUUGGCCCCUUAUCGGGGUUGCGGACAGUGUCUGGUGGGUAGUUUGACUGGGGCGGUCUCCUCCCAAAGCGUAACGGAGGAGCACGAAGGUUAGCUAAUCCUGGUCGGACAUCAGGAGGUUAGUGCAAUGGCAUAAGCUAGCUUGACUGCGAGCGUGACGGCGCGAGCAGGUGCGAAAGCAGGUCAUAGUGAUCCGGUGGUUCUGAAUGGAAGGGCCAUCGCUCAACGGAUAAAAGGUACUCCGGGGAUAACAGGCUGAUACCGCCCAAGAGUUCAUAUCGACGGCGGUGUUUGGCACCUCGAUGUCGGCUCAUCACAUCCUGGGGCUGAAGUAGGUCCCAAGGGUAUGGCUGUUCGCCAUUUAAAGUGGUACGCGAGCUGGGUUUAGAACGUCGUGAGACAGUUCGGUCCCUAUCUGCCGUGGGCGCUGGAGAAUUGAGGGGGGCUGCUCCUAGUACGAGAGGACCGGAGUGGACGCAUCACUGGUGUUCGGGUUGUCAUGCCAAUGGCACUGCCCGGUAGCUAAAUGCGGAAGAGAUAAGUGCUGAAAGCAUCUAAGCACGAAACUUGCCCCGAGAUGAGUUCUCCCUGAGACUUUAAGUCUCCUGAAGGAACGUUGAAGACGACGACGUUGAUAGGCCGGGUGUGUAAGCGCAGCGAUGCGUUGAGCUAACCGGUACUAAUGAACCGUGAGGCUUAACCUUACAACGCCGAAG
RNAcentral lists this ribosomal RNA (2923 nucleotides) under Klebsiella pneumoniae. Its description in RNAcentral is "23S ribosomal RNA". It matches the Rfam family "Bacterial large subunit ribosomal RNA". The record is from RNAcentral. Lineage: Bacteria; Pseudomonadati; Pseudomonadota; Gammaproteobacteria; Enterobacterales; Enterobacteriaceae.